UAAUAGCAUAUAUUAAAGUUGUUGCAGUUAAAAAGCUCGUAGUCGGAUUUUGGGCGCGUGUGAACUGUCAGCCUCUGGUUGGACGGUGCGCGCGUGCCUUUCUGCUUGGGAGCCCCAUGGUGGUUAAUUCUGUCGUGGUGGGUCACAGGCCGUUUACUUUGAAAAAAUUAGAGUGUUCAAAGCAGGCUGUUGCUUGAAUAGAUUAGCAUGGAAUAAUGGAAUAGGACCUUGGUGCUAUUUCGUUGGUUAUGGGACUGGGGUAAUGAUUAAUAGGGACAGUUGGGGCCGUUCAUAUUUCGUUGUCAGAGGUGAAAUUCUUGGAUUUACGAACGAUGAACUUGUGCGAAAGCAUUCGGCAAGGAUGUUUUCAUUGAUCAAGAACGAAAGUUAGGGGAU
RNAcentral lists this ribosomal RNA (396 nucleotides) under uncultured Cryptomonas. RNAcentral's name for it is "SSU rRNA". It matches the Rfam family "Eukaryotic small subunit ribosomal RNA", at positions 592 to 998 of the family's 1831-position model. Lineage: Eukaryota; Cryptophyceae; Cryptomonadales; Cryptomonadaceae. The record is from RNAcentral.